Camelus dromedarius (Arabian camel) is the source of this 1449-nucleotide long non-coding RNA. RefSeq lists it as uncharacterized. The transcript has 3 exons. NCBI's taxonomy places the organism in Eukaryota, Metazoa, Chordata, Mammalia, Artiodactyla, Camelidae. The record is from RefSeq and is a predicted model, not a curated record.
GGGCCCUCCGGCCAUUUCCCAGUUUUAUCAUCUAAGCAUUUGCUCCUGCACGUUAUAUGAUUCUGGAGAUUAGAAGUUCAAGUUCCAGGAUACCACUGUGGGUGGUUUCUGGAGUGACCUCUGUCCUUGGUCUGCAGAUGGCUGCCUUCUCCCUGGGUCCAAAUGGCCUUAAAUGAGCUGAGGAGGAGGGGUGGAGGGGUUGGGGAGGGAGAGUUUCUGGUGUUUCAUCCUAGAAGGACACCAGUCCUAUCAGAUUAGGGCUCCACCCUGAGGACUUCACUUAACCUUAAUUUGGCCCCCUCUCCAGGUACAGCGCCACUGGGGGUGGGGCUUCUACAAAGGAACUUUGGGGAAGGAUACAGCUCAGUCUAUAACAGUCUCCUGGGGCACACGCAUGUAGUUUUGCCCUUUGCAUUUAAUAUAUACUUUACAGGCAUACGGUGUUUUAUUGUGCUUUCCCUUAUUGCACUUCAAAGAUACUGUGUUAGUUUACAAAUUACAGGUUUGUGGUAAUCCUGCCUUGUCAGGUGAUGGUCAGCAUUUUUUAGCAAGAAAAUAUUUUUAUUUAUUUAUUUUGGCAGUUUUUUGGGGGUGGGAAUUAGGUUUGUUUGUUUGUUUGUUUAUUUGUGGAGGGACAUGGGAUGGAACCCAGGAUCCGUGCAUGCUAAGUACGAGCUCUACCACUGAGCUCUACCCUCCUUCCACCAGAAAAUACUGUUAAAUUAAGGUGUGAAUGUUGUUUUUUUAGACAACUCUCUUGCACAUCUAUAGACUACAGUGAAGUAUAGGGGUCACUUUUACAUGCACUGGGAAGCCAAAACUUUGUGUGACUUGCUUUAUUGCAAUAUUUGCUUUAUUGCAUGGUCUGGAACUGAACUUGCAGUAUUUCCAAGGUCUGCCUGUACCUGGAAUUUAAUAGAAGAUUUUAUUGAGUUAAUUGCAGCUUCCCAUGCAGUUUUAAGAAAUAGUCCAGAGGGGGAGGGGAUAACUCCAUGGAAGAAUGUGUGCCUAGCAAGCACGAGGUCCUGGGUUCAAUCCUCAGUACCACCAUUAAAAAUCAAUAAAUAAAAAUGUAAUUGCCUCCCCCCAAAUAAAGUAAUAAAUAAAAAAUAUAAUAAUAAAAAUCUAGGAUUCUUUGUUCACUUCUCCCAGUUUCACAUAACGGUGACAUUUUGAGGAACUCUAGUAAACCAUCACAACCAGGACAUUGCUAUGGGCUUUCUUCCCUAGUUUCAUUUGCACUCAUUUGUGUGUGUGUGUGUGUGUGUGUGUGUGUGUGUGAAUUAGGGUCUACACAAUUUUCUCACCUACAUAGGUCUGUGUGUCCACCGUCACAGUCAGAUCCUCGAUGUUGUCUUCUUCAUAAACACAGCUGCUUCCUUGGCCCCCUCUCAGCAGUUGAUUUUUUGUAUGAGGUAGCGUCACAUUUGUUUCCAUUUCUUUUUUAAG